CUGCUUCUCCUCUUCUCCUUCAUUUUAUGUUAUUUUUUUUCUGCUCUGUUUUUCAUUGAGUUGCCGUCUACAGUGUUCCUUCUUCCUCUCCAUCUAAUUUUCGGAUCUUCCCCUCUACAAGUCAGCAAAUGCCACAACUUAUUCCUCCAUCUUCGGCUAGUCUGUCCAUGAGCCUCCAUCGUUGUGCUUUCUCUUAAAUCUUCCUUACUAAUUUUGUGGCUCAUGCUUGUGAUUUAUUUCCAUUGCAUUCCCUUUUUGUUUGCUCUUCAACUGCUCUAUUUUGCCUUAUUGCCUUGCCCUAUUUUUACCAUAAAAGCCAUGAGCUUCACUUGUUUCUUGGUGAUUUUGGUGCUUGCCGUGAGUACAUCUUCUGCCAUUGCUUGUUGCCUCUCGGUUUCCAUUGGAUAUUUUUAUGGUCCAGCUGGAGAAUGAGAAUAUGAAGCAUUGGAAAGGUCUGAUGAUCAUAGAUGAAUGAGUGCAAAGGUUACAAGAAUUUUGGAAGACCAUAUUAGUAGUUUUAUCUCUGGCGGUUAUUUUGGUACGUCAAGUUUUGAAUAAUUUGGGUCUUUGUAGAGAUGUUAUUUGUAUUAUUGAGGUUUUUGUUUAGUAUCUCGGUGGAAGGACAAAGAUUUUUGGAUCGAACAAAUAAGUUAAGUAUUUUGUGGAGUUUUUGUUUA
Long non-coding RNA from Juglans microcarpa x Juglans regia, 677 nucleotides. RefSeq lists it as uncharacterized. The record is from RefSeq and is a predicted model, not a curated record. Lineage: Eukaryota; Viridiplantae; Streptophyta; Magnoliopsida; Fagales; Juglandaceae. The transcript is spliced from 3 exons.